UCCUAGGAGGAUGUAAAUUCCCUCUCUUUACAAUGCAAUGAAACGCAAAAGCCAUUUGCAUUUUCUCGAAAAAAAACUGAAGGCCAAGGUAGAUUCCUCAAUGUACAUAUUGUUUGCACUUUCUAAGUACUGAAGUAUGUAUAUUUUAGAUAAAGUAGCAUUUGCUAGUAGAGAUCAUGGUUGGGUCAACAUAUAUUUCCACUGAACAUUGGCAUAUUUAGAGCUUUCUAUAUAUUUUAUAUUUUCUUUCAGCGAGUUUUUCUGAAGAUGUGUCAAUGUUCAGCCUGGAGAAUGUUCAUGUAAAGGCCAGUACACAAGCAUGUCUACUUUACCAUAUGGAUGGUGGAUUUACAGGACAAAUUUAUGCACUAGCUUUGAAUUCCAUGACGUUGCACGGACUAUGUGGAACCCACUGAUUCAUAGUGAUGUAUUUUCUUCGAGAAAGAGAGGACUGUGCAAUCAGAAGUACAAUAUGUGAUCAUCAAGUGUAAGAGAUGGCAAGAAUAUGUGGUAUGUAUUUCAGUCUGCGUACUAACGAAGUGUAUUGACUGUUCAUGCUGCUAUAAUAAGCUCGAUGAUUUACUAUGGAAACAUAAAAACACUUAAGAAGCAUCUUAAUUUUUAUGUACUGAGAUUUUA
This 639-nucleotide long non-coding RNA is filed under the name Triticum aestivum (bread wheat). RNAcentral describes it as "long non-coding RNA (TAES_LNC003363)". The record is from RNAcentral. Lineage: Eukaryota; Viridiplantae; Streptophyta; Magnoliopsida; Poales; Poaceae.